Molecule: ribosomal RNA, 397 nt
Filed under: uncultured bacterium
Lineage: Bacteria
Description: bacterial SSU rRNA
Rfam family: Bacterial small subunit ribosomal RNA
Source: RNAcentral
AUAUUGGGCAAUGGAGGGAACUCUGACCCAGCAACGCCGCGUGAGUGAAGAAGGUUUUCGGAUUGUAAAACUCUUUAAGCGGGGACGAAGAAAGUGACUGUACCCGCAGAAUAAGCAUCGGCUAACUACGUGCCAGCAGCCGCGGUAAUACGUAGGUGGCGAGCGUUAUCCGGAAUUAUUGGGCGUAAAGAGGGAGCAGGCGGUCGUGAAGGUCCACUGGUAAAAGACCGGGGCUAAACCCCGGUAGGCCGAGGAAACCGUACGACUAGAGUACAGCAGAGGAUCGUGGAAUUCCAUGUGUAGCGGUGAAAUGCGUAGAUAUAUGGAGGAACACCAGUGGCGAAGGCGACGAUCUGGGCUGAAACAGACGCUGAGUCCCGAAAGCGUGGGGAGCAAA